GGUUCCGUAGUGUAGUGAGCAUCAAUACCUGCUUCACACGCGAAAGGCCCCCGGUUCGAUCCCGGACGGAACCA
Non-coding RNA from Trichonephila inaurata madagascariensis, 74 nucleotides. The record is from the annotation of a GenBank genome assembly. NCBI's taxonomy places the organism in Eukaryota, Metazoa, Arthropoda, Arachnida, Araneae, Nephilidae.